CCUACGGGAGGCAGCAGUAGGGAAUAUUGCUCAAUGGGGGAAACCCUGAAGCAGCAACGCCGCGUGGAGGAUGAAGGUUUUCGGAUUGUAAACUCCUUUUGUUAGAGAAGAUACUGACGGUAUCUAACGAAUAAGCACCGGCUAACUCCGUGCCAACAGCCGCGGUAAUACGGAGGGUGCAAGCGUUACUCGGAAUCACUGGGCGUAAAGAGGGCGUAGGCGGGAUAUCAAGUCAGAUGUGAAAUCCUAUGGCUUAACCAUAGAACUGCAUUUGAAACUGUUAUUCUAGAGUAUGGGAGAGGUAGGUGGAAUUCUUGGUGUAGGGGUAAAAUCCGUAGAGAUCAAGAGGAAUACUCAUUGCGAAGGCGACCUGCUAGAACAUAACUGACGCUGAUGCGCGAAGGCGUGGGGAGCAAACAGGAUUAGAUACCCGAGUAGUC
RNAcentral lists this ribosomal RNA (440 nucleotides) under uncultured bacterium. Its description in RNAcentral is "partial 16S ribosomal RNA". It matches the Rfam family "Bacterial small subunit ribosomal RNA", at positions 338 to 795 of the family's 1533-position model. The record is from RNAcentral.